Molecule: ribosomal RNA, 468 nt
Filed under: uncultured bacterium
Lineage: Bacteria
Description: partial 16S ribosomal RNA
Rfam family: Bacterial small subunit ribosomal RNA
Source: RNAcentral
GACGAACGCUGGCGGCGUGCUUAACACAUGCAAGUCGAACGGAAAGGCCCUGCUUUUGUGGGGUGCUCGAGUGGCGAACGGGUGAGUAACACGUGAGUAACCUGCCCUUGACUUUGGGAUAACUUCAGGAAACUGGGGCUAAUACCGGAUAGGAGCUCCUGCUGCAUGGUGGGGGUUGGAAAGUUUCGGCGGUUGGGGAUGGACUCGCGGCUUAUCAGCUUGUUGGUGGGGUAGUGGCUUACCAAGGCUUUGACGGGUAGCCGGCCUGAGAGGGUGACCGGGCGCAGUGGUGCUGGGCGAGGGCCCAGCGUACGCCGGGGGGCAGCGGUGGGGAGUCUGGCGGUGGGGGCGGGAGCCUGAUGCAGCAGAGCCGCGUGCGGGGUGAUGGGCGUCGGGUUGUAGAACGGUUUCGCAUGGGAGGAAGCGGGAGUGACGGUCAUGGGUAAAGGAGCACCGGCUCCCUAGGUG